RNAcentral lists this ribosomal RNA (450 nucleotides) under uncultured bacterium. RNAcentral describes it as "bacterial SSU rRNA". It matches the Rfam family "Bacterial small subunit ribosomal RNA", at positions 354 to 796 of the family's 1533-position model. The record is from RNAcentral.
GUGGGGAAUAUUGGACAAUGGGCGAAAGCCUGAUCCAGCCAUGCCGCGUGUGUGAAGAAGGUCUUCGGAUUGUAAAGCACUUUAAGUUGGGAGGAAGGGCAGUAAGUUAAUACCUUGCUGUUUUGACGUUACCGACAGAAUAAGCACCGGCUAACUUCGUGCCAGCAGCCGCGGUAAUACGUAGGGUGCAAGCGUUAAUCGGAAUUACUGGGCGUAAAGCGCGCGUAGGUGGUUCAGCAAGUUGGAGGUGAAAUCCCCGGGCUCAACCUGGGAACUGCCUCCAAAACUACUGGGCUAGAGUACGGUAGAGGGUAGUGGAAUUUCCUGUGUAGCGGUGAAAUGCGUAGAUAUAGGAAGGAACACCAGUGGCGAAGGCGACUACCUGGACUGAUACUGACACUGAGGUGCGAAAGCGUGGGGAGCAAACAGGAUUAGAUACCCUUGUAGUCC